RNAcentral lists this ribosomal RNA (497 nucleotides) under uncultured bacterium. RNAcentral's name for it is "partial 16S ribosomal RNA". It matches the Rfam family "Bacterial small subunit ribosomal RNA", at positions 28 to 507 of the family's 1533-position model. The record is from RNAcentral.
GACGAACGCUGGCGGCGUGCCUAAUACAUGCAAGUUGAGCGCUGAAGGUUGGUACUUGUACCGACUGGAUGAGCAGCGAACGGGUGAGUAACGCGUGGGGAAUCUGCCUUUGAGCGGGGGACAACAUUUGGAAACGAAUGCUAAUACCGCAUAAAAACUUUAAACACAAGAUUUAAGUUUGAAAGAUGCAAUUGCAUCACUCAAAGAUGAUCCCGCGUUGUAUUAGCUAGUUGGUGAGGUAAAGGCUCACCAAGGCGAUGAUACAUAGCCGACCUGAGAGGGUGAUCGGCCACAUUGGGACUGAGACACGGCCCAAACUCCUACGGGAGGCAGCAGUAGGGAAUCUUCGGCAAUGGACGAAAGUCUGACCGAGCAACGCCGCGUGAGUGAAGAAGGUUUUCGGAUCGUAAAACUCUGUUGGUAGAGAAGAACGUUGGUGAGAGUGGAAAGCUCAUCAAGUGACGGUAACUACCCAGAAAGGGACGGCUAACUACGUG